GACGAACCGUGCAAACGUUGUUCGGAAUCACUGGGCUUAAAGGGCGCGUAGGCGGGCAAGCAAGUCGAAGGUGAAAUCCCACGGCUCAACCGUGGAAGUGCCCCCGAUACUGCUUGUCUUGAGGGAGAUAGGGGCGUGCGGAACUUCCGGUGGAGCGGUGAAAUGCGUAGAUAUCGGAAGGAACACCGGUGGCGAAAGCGGCGCGCUGGAUCUCUUCUGACGCUGAGGCGCGAAAGCUAGGGGAGCGAACGGG
RNAcentral lists this ribosomal RNA (253 nucleotides) under uncultured bacterium. RNAcentral's name for it is "partial 16S ribosomal RNA". It matches the Rfam family "Bacterial small subunit ribosomal RNA", at positions 524 to 776 of the family's 1533-position model. The record is from RNAcentral.